CCCCUCUGAGGGUCGCACCUGUAGAGUUUCCAGUACUCUACCAGUCUCGGCUAAAGGAGGGAGAGUAGUCAAGCAGAGGCCUGUCCAUUCCAUUCCUAGCUUGGGCAGUGGCUAAUGAGAGGAAGGCAAUCUGCUACAAGU
This 141-nucleotide small nucleolar RNA is filed under the name Ornithorhynchus anatinus (platypus). The record is from RNAcentral. Lineage: Eukaryota; Metazoa; Chordata; Mammalia; Monotremata; Ornithorhynchidae.